GAGGCGUCGGUGGACCCUCCUUACCAAAAGCCUGAUGUAGGUAAUGUGCAGUGUCCACAACAGAUUGUCUGAUGAAAAAUAAUGAGCAAGCGCACCUGUUGAUGUAAUGAGUCCUGGACUCAUGCUGAUGCGGAACGAUUAAGCCUGAGGUUUAGUCGGAUUUCGUGUCCCCAUCGUCUAGAGGCCUAGGACACUGCCCUUUCACGGCUGUAACAGGGGUUCGAAUCCCCUUGGGGACGCCAUACCGAUAAUGAGUGAAAGACAUUAUCACCGAAUAUCUUAAAGAUGACUUUACCGAGUCGUGUUUAAGAUAUUGCUCUUUAACAAUCUGGAACAAGCUGAAAUUUGAAACGAUGCGGCUAAACAUAUCUCUCCGUGCAGUACUGAGAUGUGAUUUGGCUGUAUCAGAGUCUCUCAAAUAAUCGCAGCGCGAGAUGGCCUAGGAGACUUUCAGAUUGUGAGGGUAAGCGACGAAACGUACCUAGUGGAGGCCUUGGCUGCCCUUGGCAAUGUAUCAAGUCUCUCAAAUAAUCGCAGCGCGAAAGUGACUUGAUGUAUCAAAGACACCUUCGGGUUGUGAGGUUAAGCGACUAAGCGUACACGGUGGAUGCCUUGGCAUCUUCCAUCGUUGCUAUUUUUUACUCGCUCCAUAUUGAUUAAGAUCGUUCCUUAAAGUCAAUCAGCAAAGUCUCUUUCAAAUCUUCGGUGAAUCUGUCUUACAUCCGAGAGGAAGGGGCUUCCUAAGAUAAUUGAACGCUUCCUAAGCGGAUAAAACCCAGUGUCCACGCCUCUAGAGCAGUGGCUAACGCUCUCGAGAAACGUCAGCUAAAUCUACCCACUCCGGAUUACCGAUCCCUCCCUAAAGUCGGGCUCGAUAUACUAUUGAGGGAGACCGUUUGUUACACUGAAUUUCUUUCUGAGCCUGUAUGUACGAAUAGAGCUUCUGCAGUCUCUUGACUACCUUGUUACCCAACGCUCUUUUAAAAAC
This 988-nucleotide transfer RNA is filed under the name Brenneria goodwinii. RNAcentral describes it as "partial may contain 16S ribosomal RNA, 16S-23S ribosomal RNA intergenic spacer, and 23S ribosomal RNA". The stretch from base 167 to 239 matches the Rfam family "tRNA". Lineage: Bacteria; Pseudomonadati; Pseudomonadota; Gammaproteobacteria; Enterobacterales; Pectobacteriaceae. The record is from RNAcentral.